RNAcentral lists this small RNA (201 nucleotides) under Calothrix sp. RNAcentral's name for it is "c-di-AMP sequence". It matches the Rfam family "c-di-AMP riboswitch aptamer (ydaO/yuaA leader)". Rfam says of the family: This family represents a conserved RNA structure found upstream of the ydaO and yuaA genes in Bacillus subtilis and related genes in other bacteria. The ydaO/yuaA element is thought to act as a genetic "off" switch for the ydaO and yuaA genes in its native state. It is believed that the element may be triggered during osmotic shock leading to activation of ydaO, a predicted amino acid transporter gene, and members of the yuaA-yubG operon which code for KtrA and KtrB K+ transporters. The record is from RNAcentral. Lineage: Bacteria; Bacillati; Cyanobacteriota; Cyanophyceae; Nostocales; Calotrichaceae.
UAAAUCAGUCUGCCUAAUCCAAUAUUUGCCUUGAGAGCAUUUGCAAAUCAAGGUAAACGGGAGCGGAGGAACCAUAUUUGGGGCGUAUCUUCACUACAGGCUUAAGUAUGAAACACAUACUUCAUACCUAAUCCCUCAGAAGAAGGACAUCUCUCAGUUCUAGCCCGUCAGCUAACUUCGUAGGCUUUGAGAGGAGACUGA